This 446-nucleotide ribosomal RNA is filed under the name bacterium. RNAcentral's name for it is "bacterial SSU rRNA". It matches the Rfam family "Bacterial small subunit ribosomal RNA", at positions 1 to 492 of the family's 1533-position model. The record is from RNAcentral.
AAUGGAGAGUUUGAUCCUGGCUCAGGAUUAACGCUGGCGGUGUGUCUAAUACAUGCAAGUCGAACGGGAAUCUUCGGAUUCUAGUGGCGGACGAGCGAGUAACACGUUGGAACCUGCCCCGAACUCAGGGAUAAGCACUGGAAACGGUGUCUAAUACCGGAUAGUCCCGCAAGGGUAAAGAUUUUUCGGUUCGGGAGGGGCCUGCGUCCUAUCAGCUUGUUGGUAAGGUAAUGGCUUACCAAGGCUAUGACGGGUAACUGGUCUGAGAGGAUGAUCAGUCGCGAUGGAACUGAGACACGGUCCAUACUCCUACGGGAGGCAGCAGUAGGGAAUAUUUCACAAUGGGCGAAAGCCUGAUGAAGCAAUACCGCGUGGUCGAUGAAGCUCUUCGGAGUGUAAAGGCCUUUUCUGAGGGAAGAAUUCUGACGGUACCUUAGGAAUAAGCA